CGCUUGUGUGAGGUGUAACAUGAGAUGUGGUGAUGUGUCAGUGUUGGGAUGACGUGAAGAGCCCUGCCAUUGCCCCACCUGAGCGCAUUUGUCAUCCCGACGAUAUGCUUUCUGAGUCCCGGCCUCAGCCUCCCGCUCCAACGCUGAUGGAAAACUUGCAGCAAAAACGCAAAAAGGUCAUUAUCAUCGUUCCAGUGGUUUGCCUCUGCAGGUUGAUGAAACAGAUACAACGCUUGAUCUGAGCCCUAGGACCAUGCCUCAAGACUACCUGCCAUGAUGACUCCUUGCUGUCCCCAGUCCACCUGGCCGUGCUGCUGCUCCAGUUUCAACUGUUCUGCCUGUGAUUAUUAUUAUUUGACCAUGCUGGUCAUUUAUGAACAUUUGAACAUCUUGGCCAUGUUCUGUUAUAAUCUCCACCCGGCACAGCCAGAAGAGGACUGGCCACCCCACAUAGCCUGGUUCCUCUCUAGGUUUCUUCCUAGGUUUUGGCCUUUCUAGGGAGUUUUUCCUGUAGAAGCCACCGUACUUCUACACCUGCGUUGCUUGCUGUUUGGGGUUUUAGGCUGGGUUUCUGUACAGCACUUUGAGAUAUCAGCUGAUGUACGAAGGGCUAUAUAAAUAAAAAAU
Long non-coding RNA from Oncorhynchus tshawytscha (Chinook salmon), 627 nucleotides. The record is from Ensembl. NCBI's taxonomy places the organism in Eukaryota, Metazoa, Chordata, Actinopteri, Salmoniformes, Salmonidae.